GGCGCUGAUUGCGGCGGCGGGUCUGUGAGUCGAGCCGGGCCUGGGCAGUGGCUGCGCCUUAGGACCUCGCGCUCGGUCCGCGGGCUCCGGGGUGGGGGCUCCAGCGGCGAAGCCCCCUCCCCGGGGAGGCGGGGCCUGGGCGAGCUCCCGAGGCUCGAGCGGCGGCGGCCGGGAACCAUGCAUCAGAAGCUGCUGAAGAGCGCACAUUACAUCGAGCUGGGCAGCUACCAGUACUGGCCGGUCCUGGUGCCCCGCGGUAUUCGCCUCUACACCUUCGAGCAGAUCCCGGUGUCGCUCAAGGACAACCCGUAUAUCACCGACGGCUACCGGGCCUACCUGCCCUCCAGGCUGUGUAUCAAAAGUUUGUUUAUUUUAUCUAAUGAGACGGUAAACAUCUGGAGUCAUUUGCUGGGUUUCUUUCUCUUCUUCACCCUGGGAAUAUAUGAUAUGACGUCUGUGUUACCUUCGGCAAGUGCAUCCAGAGAAGAUUUUGUAAUUUGUUCUAUUUGUCUUUUCUGCUUCCAGGUCUGUAUGCUUUGCUCUGUGGGAUAUCAUCUUUUUUCUUGCCAUCGGUCAGAAAAAACCUGUCGAAGAUGGAUGGCAUUAGAUUAUGCAGGAAUUUCUAUUGGAAUACUGGGCUGCUAUGUCUCAGGAGUAUUUUAUGCAUUUUAUUGUAAUAAUUACUGGCGUCAAGUAUACUUGAUCACAGUGCUUGCCAUGAUCCUGGCAGUGUUCUUUGCUCAGAUUCAUCCCAAUUACCUCACACAGCAAUGGCAGAGGCUCCGUUCUGUCAUCUUUUGUUCUGUUUCGGGAUAUGGAGUAAUACCUACUCUUCACUGGGUUUGGCUCAAUGGAGGAAUUGGAGCUCCUAUUGUACAGGAUUUUGCACCUCGUGUAAUUGUGAUGUAUGUGAUUGCUCUUCUUGCUUUCCUAUUCUACAUCUCCAAAGUUCCAGAGCGGUACUUUCCAGGACAACUAAACUACCUCGGAUCUAGCCACCAAAUAUGGCAUAUCCUUGCAGUAGUGAUGUUAUAUUGGUGGCAUCAGUCAACAGUCUAUGUCAUGCAGUACAGACAUAGCAAGCCUUGUCCUGACUAUGUUUCACAUUUGUGAAGAAUUCAGCUUUAAAAAUCAUAUUUUAGAAUCAGGAAUGAAGAAUCAGGGAAUAUCUUGUCACAUCACAUGGCAUCCCACCUGGACAGAGUGUACGAUUUGAAGAUUGUGAUUGACUGGCAUAAAGCUGUACAGCUCUCCAUGUGGCAGGAAUAAAUGCCAAGAAUCCAUCAGAAGUAUCUACUGUUUAGAAGGAAAUGGAGCAGCACCAAAUGGGUCUAAUUCAACUGGUUGGGACUGUUGGGACUGAUGUGGCGGGAUGCUUUGCACCACAAGUUCUGUAAAGGGCACUGCACCAAAGUCAUCCAUUUUCAACGCAUCUGCACUAUGGAAUGACCCAUGUAGUGAAUUCUGUCUUGGCCGCCCAGGCAGGACAGUAUUGUGAUCAGCACGGAUGUCACUCAGGCCCUGAUGUGGCUGGUGCCAUGAUAGGUCUGGAGGAUGGAAGGGCUUGGCACCAAAGGGAUCCAACAGACUCUCCUCUGGUUGUAGGACACUCCCUCUGUCUUUCCCAUCAGUCAGUGCAACACUGAUGUUCUCCUUGGAGUCUGAGAUGGUUAAAAAUUCAUUGCUGCUUUGAGAGUCUCUGCGGCCCACUUUCUUGUGCCUGCGAGCCCUCUCUGGAGUGCGGUAGGUAGGCUUCAAUGUCUUCUUCACGCUAGUUGGUGUGCCGUGAUGCCGUUUCCCGUUACUUUUGGACAUAUCCUGCUUUGUGCGCCUCUGGCGAGAGGACAGUUUCUGUAAGCUGCGCUGUUUGACUUUUUGCUGCUGACUUCCGGUUAUCUCCUCAAAGGGCACAAGCCCAAAAAGGUCCUCCUUACUUUCGCUUUUACUUGUUGAUGUGGGAAAAGGCUGAAAAGGAGUGGAGCCAAAUAUAUCUACACUUUUGGGACAACCAGGAAGAGCAUGUGCCUCAGACCCCACUACAGGGCAGUCCUGGACAUUCACCUUCUUGCUGAAGGGUGCUUUAGUGAAGACAUCAAAUUCCUCUUGCUCUAGUCCUACAGUAGGAAACAUCUGUCGAGAAAGGUUCUUUUCAUUCUCUCCUUGCUGGGGCUGUUGAGCACGCACUGAGAAGGGAACAGCACCAAAUACGUCAAAUUCCUGUUUGGGAGUCUCCCUCCCAACAUCAGAGGAUACAUGUGUUAGGGCAAGGAGUGCUAAAUUAGGAUCUUGGGUUGUUCCACUGCCAGAUUUGUCUCUGUAGACAGGGCUCACGCUGCUGUACUUUGCUUUGGCCUGCUCAUACUCAGAAUCAGAGCUGUGUUUCUCUUCUUCUUCCUCAUCUUCAGAGUCCAUGAGGAGAGGCCUAUGACCCAGAUUUUCUGGUUCAGUAUCAUCAUCAUUAAAAUCUCCUUGUUCUCCAGGAACUUCUUCAUCGUCUUGCUCUUCCUCUUCACUGCUCUUAGGAGAAGGGGGAUCUGACUCAAAAUCACUUUCAGAGUCAUCAUUCCCCUUUUGUACAUGACCCCGUACUGAUAAAUUCUCUGAGGUUUUCUUUCCAACCCGCUGAUCUUUAGAUACUGGACUUGCUUUUCCAUUCUUGAUAGGGUUUCUGGUGCUAUUUUCUUGAUUCAUGGAUGGAUAUUCACCUUUCUUUUCAGGAGAACCUGCAGGUUUAAAUAAAAAAUAUUAUAGCCUUCCUGUACAUUUCAAACUCCAUUUUCAUGAAUCAUAUAAUCCCUCAUACCAAUUACCUCAGAGGAAAAAAUAAUGUUGUCAAGUCUUUGUCACUGUCCUCAGCUACAUGGUUAGGUCCUUAUUGCAGUUAUACAUACUUGUCUCUGGUCCCUAUGUCACAGACCCUCACUGAUAGCUAAAUUUUACUUAUAGCACCCAGACUAAGACCCUGAAGAUAAAAAAGCAAAAAAGUUUUUUCUCACCACCACUGAUGUAAGAUUAGUCACCAAACAACAUUGUGUUUAUAUUUCAACCUUUUUUUUUCUCAUAGAAAUCAAUACAUUUCUAUAGGCAGGGAUACCUUGUCUGUUUAGUUAUAUAUUUCACUAAUUUUUUUCAAAUCAGCAUUUUGACUUUUACAAUGUAAAUUUUGUUUUGUGCCAUACUGAGGAUUGAACCUAGGGAUACUCUACCACUGGGCUAUAUCCCCAACCCUUUUUGAGACAGGGUCUCACUAAGUUGGCCAGGCUGGCCUUGAACUUGCAUUCCUCCUGUCUCAGACUCCCAAGUCACUGAGAUUACAGGUGUGCACUACUGCACCUGGUUUAAAUCAGUAUCUUCUGAGUUAAUUUAGCGUCAGUGCAUUCUUCAUAGCCUAAUCAAAGCUAAGGACCAAAAUGUAUCAAAAAUGCUCUUCCUUUAAUUACAGUAUCUAUUGUACUAGACAUUCCAUUAAAGGCUAUCUUUAAAACAACUGUAAACUAUCAGUAGGCUAACUAUCAGUGAUAGGCAAUUAAAUUUCACCAAAUAUAGAGCUUUAAAAUCUAUAUUGUAUUUAGAAAAGAAAUAUAGUUUAUUAGUAUACAUGAAAAUAUACUACCUUCCCAAUACAUUGGUAUACUGAAUUGAUUUUACCAGAGGUAGCAGUCAAUUUGAUUUAGUCAUACAUACUCAUCCCUUCCCUUCAGGACCAAAUAUUUUCAAAACAAUUAGAUAGGGCUGGGAGUACAGUCUGUCAUCACAAGAACGAGUUAGCUUGUGAUGGAGGAGGGACCAUUACUUCGUCAUCAUUAACAUGAUGAUCUCUGGUAUAUGGUACCUCUGGGUUAUCUUCUCCUUUUUUAAAGUCAGCACUAUCAUCUUCCUACAACUGUGUAAGCCUUGUCUUUCACUAACAUCUGCUUAAAAUGUGUCUUCCCUAGAGUUCAAUCCUUGGAUGUGUUUCUCCCUCUGUGGCUUCUCUCUGGGGUUUUAACUACUUGUAUGUUGACUACAAAAUAUACUAAUAGCUUUUGGCUGAGUUGUAUUUUUCUAACCCAGAUCUUACUCAUGAGUUAUAGAUGCAGAUCUCUAGUAAGUACCAUGAAUACCUACCUAUCAGAAUAUGUAUCCUACCAUUACCCUCAAACUCAAACAUUUCAAAAGGGACCAUCUUUUUUGUUAAGGUAUUCUUCACCAGCAGUUCCCUUUAGUGGACAGCACUUCCAUGUACGUAGGUUCCUCAGACCAGAAGAAAUCUGGAAAUCAUCUCCCCUCUUCCUACCAGUGUGUACGUAGGUUCCUCAGACCAGAAGAAAUCUGGAAAUCAUCUCCCCUGUUCCUACCAGUGUGUGCCUGUGGUUUUUAAAUCUCCUGAAUUUCCCUUUCCUCCCUCUUCCACUUAUCUAUUCACUCCCUCAUUAUUUCUUAUCUAGAAACUAAGCCUCUAAACUUGCUUCUUUGCCAUGAUUUUCAUAGUCCCCAAAUGGCUCCUUUACCUUGUCACCAUAAUAAAUUUUUUUUUUCUGAAAAACUAAUCCCAUGGCUCUUUGCUUAAAAUCUUCCAGUGGCUGUUUGAAGUGGAACCCUUAGCAUAAUGCAGGGUUCUCUAUUUAGGUUCUGUUUUGCCAAAUCUAUAGUCUCACACCCUGUGUUUCCCAUGUUAUUCUUUAUUACAGCCUACUCAAACUCAGGAACCAAAUGGCUAUCUUAGGAAUAUACUUGUGAAAUAACCUGUAAUACUCACCUAUCUUAACAUCUCGUUCCCACUGCACUUUAAUAUGAAUAUUCUACCACUGCCUCAUGAAGGUGGCUAUGUUUCAAGACCCAGCCCAAAUCAUAGCCCUUCAGAGCCACCCCUUAAAAAAAUACCAUAUUGUAUUUGGUGUGCCUGAGAAACCUUAAUUGUAAUAUCUACUCCACUGAACUGCAAAUGUAUUCAUCUCUACCCUAGCACUGACUGAAUCAAUAUGUAUUAAAAUGAAGCAUUGACUACUGUGAGUUCAACUAUAUUCAGAAUAUAAUAAGAGAAGUUACAAGAAAUAUGAAGGAAUAAAAAUAAACUCUAUAUCUGUGGA
RNA transcript from Marmota monax (woodchuck), 5069 nucleotides. It is a transcript of the gene named progestin and adipoQ receptor family member 3, with no coding region annotated. Lineage: Eukaryota; Metazoa; Chordata; Mammalia; Rodentia; Sciuridae. The record is from RefSeq and is a predicted model, not a curated record. The transcript is spliced from 8 exons.